This 376-nucleotide ribosomal RNA is filed under the name uncultured bacterium. Its description in RNAcentral is "bacterial SSU rRNA". It matches the Rfam family "Bacterial small subunit ribosomal RNA", at positions 30 to 396 of the family's 1533-position model. The record is from RNAcentral.
AUUGAACGCUGGCGGCAUGCCUUACACAUGCAAGUCGAACGGCAGCACGGGAGCAAUCCUGGUGGCGAGUGGCGAACGGGUGAGUAAUAUAUCGGAACGUGCCCAGUCGUGGGGAUAACGUAGCGAAAGCUACGCUAAUACCGCAUACGAUCUAUGGAUGAAAGCGGGGGAUCGCAAGACCUCGCGCGAUUGGAGCGGCCGAUAUCAGAUUAGGUAGUUGGUGAGGUAAAGGCUCACCAAGCCGACGAUCUGUAGCUGGUCUGAGAGGACGACCAGCCACACUGGGACUGAGACACGGCCCAGACUCCUACGGGAGGCAGCAGUGGGGAAUUUUUGGACAACGGNGGGCGACGAACGUCCGUAGUACCUACCGACG